UGUAUUUGCUCCUUUGCAUAUAAUGACGUUCUCAAAGAAACAGAAGGACAAUGUUUGUUGCCCCUUUGGCGUCGAGCUUGUGCGGCACACAACGAUUGGAGGAAGCCGGAUCAUCAUCAAUAUGCUAAUGAAAGCAGGAGCUGCGGUCGGAGGAUCGGCGUUAUGUUUACCAUAACGCAAAAGAUUCGGCAGCAUUAUACAGGGAGAACAAUAAACAAAGGCAGACAGGACACGGACAGCGAGCCAAUCAGAAUGCAAGUAGCCAC
Molecule: long non-coding RNA, 266 nt
Organism: Bombina bombina (fire-bellied toad)
Lineage: Eukaryota; Metazoa; Chordata; Amphibia; Anura; Bombinatoridae
Exons: 3
Source: RefSeq, a predicted model, not a curated record